This 566-nucleotide long non-coding RNA is filed under the name Homo sapiens (human). RNAcentral's name for it is "uncharacterized LL0XNC01-250H12.3". The record is from RNAcentral. Lineage: Eukaryota; Metazoa; Chordata; Mammalia; Primates; Hominidae.
UGACUGCAGGAUGAGUACAGAAUUUUUCUAUAAAUAUACUAAAAUACCAAGUAAGCCAGGAGCAGCCACUAGGCAAACACCAAACCUUGCAUUCCUGGCCAAACCUAUCACAGAGCUCAUCAGCACUGAGCUCCUCACACAGGUGACUGAACCCGUGGUUUUGGUGUCUGAGAAGAUGCAGCUUCUCCAGUCUCUGCAACUGACGGCAGGAAGAUGGGAGCACUCAGCUUCAGUGUUCAGAAGCAGAUUUAGGCCAAUUGCCAUACCUUACGUUCUGGAGGGAUCCACCCUGACCUGAGCAGGGCACAAUUAUUUUAUCUUGGAACCAACAAUCUUCGGAGAAUGUAUCCCAAAGAUACAAUUCAAAAAGAUAAAAAGGCAGAAGCACAAGGUCAUUCUUGGCAGAACAAAUUGUAACAGCAGAAGACUGGAAAUAAGACAGAUGUCCACCAAUAAAGGACUGACUGAAUAAUCUAAGGUGCAUCUACAUCCUAGAUUUCAAUGCCGGUAUAACAAGCAAGGAAGAUUCCCUCUCUCUGCUGCUAUGUAGUGAUUUCCAGGAUAUA